CAGGACCCUUUGGAGUCAUCCAUUCAUGACAGGUGGACGUUAAGAUGAGGGCCCCAACUCAGACCACGAGAUGAGCAGAAGCCCUCGCCUGCAGCUUCUUGAAGAACGAAGCUUAGGGGAAACCCAGGAGAAGCACUGUGGCCUAGAAGAAUGGAUUCAGAAAGGAAGCAAGGGCCAAAUGUAAUGUUUUCCUAGGAAACUGGAAACGCAACUGAACCAAGAGAGUGAGCUAAAAGAACCUUAAAUUGUUCCCAACGGGCAACUAUGGUACAGGUAAGUGAAAAAUUGGACAGACAUUGAAGACAUCAUAUUUCUUUCAUGCUACCAAUUGAAGAAGCGGAAG
Molecule: long non-coding RNA, 343 nt
Filed under: Fukomys damarensis (Damara mole-rat)
Lineage: Eukaryota; Metazoa; Chordata; Mammalia; Rodentia; Bathyergidae
Description: lncRNA (ENSFDAG00000030996.1)
Source: RNAcentral